CUUUCUACAUGCUUCAACAAUCGCAUUCCAUUUGGAAAAUUGAUCUUUAUAAAAUAUAUCGGGUAAAUCAA
This 71-nucleotide transfer RNA is filed under the name Striatella unipunctata. Lineage: Eukaryota; Bacillariophyta; Striatellaphyceae; Striatellales; Striatellaceae. The record is from RNAcentral.